GCCUUCUUGGUGUAACGGUAGCACACUCGACAUGUAUUCGAGAGAUCCAGGUUCGAGUCCCAGCGGGGGCC
Molecule: transfer RNA, 71 nt
Filed under: Stegodyphus mimosarum
Lineage: Eukaryota; Metazoa; Arthropoda; Arachnida; Araneae; Eresidae
Rfam family: tRNA
About the family: Transfer RNA (tRNA) molecules are approximately 80 nucleotides in length. Their secondary structure includes four short double-helical elements and three loops (D, anti-codon, and T loops). Further hydrogen bonds mediate the characteristic L-shaped molecular structure. tRNAs have two regions of fundamental functional importance: the anti-codon, which is responsible for specific mRNA codon recognition, and the 3' end, to which the tRNAs corresponding amino acid is attached (by aminoacyl-tRNA synthetases). tRNAs cope with the degeneracy of the genetic code in two manners: having more than one tRNA (with a specific anti-codon) for a particular amino acid; and 'wobble' base-pairing, i.e. permitting non-standard base-pairing at the 3rd anti-codon position.
Source: Rfam by way of RNAcentral